AAUCCCACUGAAACUUACUGCCGCGGGGAGAGAGAAGAGACAGAGCCAUGGUUAGCAUUCUGUGAAGUCUUUAAGAGAGACAGAAAUAUGCUCCUUUUACAUAUUAGAUGCUGGGAUAAGCUAAUUGCCGAAUCCAUCAACGUCGGUCUGCGACUGUUGUGAUGAGCUCCAACCGAAUCUACAGCCUGGUUUAGAGCUCUGCAACAACUUAAAUCCUACUAAAGGCCUUGCAAAAAAACGGGGUCUCUCCUAUCCUUAGGAGGUACAGAUGGCCAGCGUCAGGAAAGCAGUGUUACCCAAAGGAAGAAGUCAAGGCAAAUGAUCGCAUUUCACAGGUCUCCUGGCACCUACAAGACACCGAAGCCUGGCCUUUCAACAGAUGGGGAGGCAGAGGCAGACAUGGUGCAGGGCCCAACCAGCAAGAGGAUGAAGUAUCUUUACAGCACAACUGGCUAAGAGGAAAAAAGUCUACAUUUAAAACAAAAUGAAACAAAAUAACAAUCUCCUCACCCCACCUCUACCUUGCAGAAUUGUUCUGACAAAAAUGACCCACAGAAUUUAAAAGAAAAGUGAUGUUAUUGAAAUUACCACCAUAUGAGUUGCACUCUUUGGGACAUAUGUUUGCUCAGAUGUAGUCAACUUCAUUGUUCAGCCACUGUGGAAACAAGGUAUGUUGGACUGAAUGUUUGUUUGUGUUCCCCUGAAGUUCAUAUGUUGAAGCCCUAACCCCCAAUGUGAUGCUAUAUGGAGGUGGGGACUUUAGGAGGUAAUUAUAUUUAGAUGAGAUCGUGAAGGUGGGGCUCCAUGAUGGGACUAGUGUCCUUAUAGGAAGACAAAGAGACCAGAGUUCUCUCUCUGCCAAAUGAGGACACAGUAAGAAGAUAGCUGUCUGCAAGCCACGAAGAGGUCCUUCAUCAGAAUCCGACCAGUCUGGCACCAGGGUCUCACACGUGCAGGCUCCAGACCUGAGAGAAAUAGAUUUCUUGCUGUUUAAGCCACCUAGUUGAUGACACUUUGUUAUGGCAGCCCGAGCUGACUAAAACAUAAGGUACUGAGGGUAAGAAAGCACAGUGUGGGCUCAUGGAAACCUAACAUGUUGAGCAUUGUGCUACAAUUCCAAGGACUCAUGGAACGUCCAGCGACCUCAGGAGCAGAUGCAUAUUUCUCAACCAGACACAUGAAGAAUAUGGGUUCUAGGGGCUUCCCUGUUGGCACAGUGGUUAUGCCUGCCAAUGCAGGGGACAUGAGUUCGAGCCCUGGUCCAGGAAGAUCCCACAUGCCUCGGAGCAACUAAGCCCGUGUGCCACAACUACUGAGCCUGUGCUCUAGAGCCCGCGAGCCACAACUACUGAGCCUACGCGCCACAAUUACUGAAGCCCACACGCCUAGAGCCCGUGCUCCCGGGCUCCACAACGAGAAGCCACCACGAUGAGAAGCCCGCACACCACAACAAAGAGUAGCGCUUGCUUGCCGCAACUAGAGAAAGCCCGCACACAGCAACAAAGACCCAAUGCAGCCAAAAAUAAAUUUAUUUAAAAAAAAAAAAAGAAUAUGGGUUCUAGAUUGGACCGCCAGAGUUCAAUCCUGCCUCUUCCACUGUCUGUCUAGAUCUGCAAAUGGAGUAAGUAAGUUAAUUUUUCUGAUUCUCAAUUUCCUUAAUGUUAACUUUUAUUAUUAUUGUUUUUGUGAAUCAGUUUUUAUUUAUAUCUGCUUUUCUUUAUAUUUUUAGUCUCCUU
This is a long non-coding RNA of Balaenoptera ricei (Rice's whale), 1736 nucleotides long. RefSeq lists it as uncharacterized. The record is from RefSeq and is a predicted model, not a curated record. NCBI's taxonomy places the organism in Eukaryota, Metazoa, Chordata, Mammalia, Artiodactyla, Balaenopteridae. The transcript has 3 exons.